RNAcentral lists this ribosomal RNA (478 nucleotides) under uncultured bacterium. Its description in RNAcentral is "partial 16S ribosomal RNA". It matches the Rfam family "Bacterial small subunit ribosomal RNA", at positions 28 to 523 of the family's 1533-position model. The record is from RNAcentral.
GACGAACGCUGGCGGCGUGCUUAACACAUGCAAGUCGAACGGUAAGGCCCUUCGGGGUACACGAGUGGCGAACGGGUGAGUAACACGUGGGUGAUCUGCCCUGCACUUCGGGAUAAGCCUGGGAAACUGGGUCUAAUACCGGAUAGGACCACUGCCUGCAUGGGUGGUGGUGGAAAGCUUUUGCGGUGUGGGAUGGGCCCGCGGCCUAUCAGCUUGUUGGUGGGGUGAUGGCCUACAAAGGCGACGACGGGUAGCCGGCCUGAGAGGGUGACCGGCCACACUGGGACUGAGAUACGGCCCAGACUCCUACGGGAGGCAGCAGUGGGGAAUAUUGCACAAUGGGCGCAAGCCUGAUGCAGCGACGCCGCGUGAGGGAUGACGGCCUUCGGGUUGUAAACCUCUUUCAGCACCGACGAAGCGCAAGUGACGGUAGGCGCAGAAGAAGGACCGGCCAACUACGUGCCAGCAGCCGCCGUAA